CCGAUAUCUGUGCACAUUUCAAGGCAUUGUUUGCUAGGAAUCAAGGCAGUUCAUGUUAAUUCAACAGAAGAAAGAAAUUAUGUUCUGACAAGGUUUGAUGAAACAGGUGAAAAAGUAUACUAUACCAGUUUCAGCCCAAUGCUCACUGCACAGUCAGCUAUCACAACAUAGAGUUAAG
Corticium candelabrum is the source of this 178-nucleotide long non-coding RNA. RefSeq lists it as uncharacterized. Lineage: Eukaryota; Metazoa; Porifera; Homoscleromorpha; Homosclerophorida; Plakinidae. The transcript is spliced from 3 exons. The record is from RefSeq and is a predicted model, not a curated record.